This 422-nucleotide ribosomal RNA is filed under the name uncultured bacterium. RNAcentral's name for it is "bacterial SSU rRNA". It matches the Rfam family "Bacterial small subunit ribosomal RNA", at positions 954 to 1375 of the family's 1533-position model. The record is from RNAcentral.
AUGGGAACGCGAAGAACCUUACCUACUCUUGACAUCCAGAGAACUUUCCAGAGAUGGAUUGGUGCCUUCGGGAACUCUGAGACAGGUGCUGCAUGGCUGUCGUCAGCUCGUGUUGUGAAAUGUUGGGUUAAGUCCCGCAACGAGCGCAACCCUUAUCCUUUGUUGCCAGCGGUUAGGCCGGGAACUCAAAGGAGACUGCCAGUGAUAAACUGGAGGAAGGUGGGGAUGACGUCAAGUCAUCAUGGCCCUUACUAGUAGGGCUACACACGUGCUACAAUGGCGCAUACAAAGAGAAGCGACCUCGCGAGAGCAAGCGGACCUCAUAAAGUGCGUCGUAGUCCGGAUUGGAGUCUGCAACUCGACUCCAUGAAGUCGGAAUCGCUAGUAAUCGUAGAUCAGAAUGCUACGGUGAAUACGUUCCC